AUGGUUGACAUGGUUCUGGCCUGUACAUCUGCAUUUAUCCCUUUCACACUUGGAAGGAUAAUCCUAUUGUGCACAGGUGAAUUCGACUCCUUUGCUGCAACACCCUCUGUCCUCCUAGUCGGAUAUUGGUUUAUCUUCUCGCUGGCGCUGGGUGCCACUUUCGCUUGGCUUCUUCAUACUACUGGGGGCGUCUUCCCGAGACUCGCCAGGGGCUUCCGCGCGCUCUGCCGUCUACCUGAGCUGGCCUGGGACUUCUGCGUCUAUGACCUUGAUAAGUAUGUCGUGGAUGAGCCUAUUGUCAUUGGGCAGAGGUUGGAAGAUGUCGCCGACGGUAGGUGA
RNAcentral lists this ribosomal RNA (339 nucleotides) under Triticum aestivum (bread wheat). Its description in RNAcentral is "partial small subunit ribosomal RNA". Lineage: Eukaryota; Viridiplantae; Streptophyta; Magnoliopsida; Poales; Poaceae. The record is from RNAcentral.